Molecule: long non-coding RNA, 2064 nt
Organism: Brassica napus (rape)
Lineage: Eukaryota; Viridiplantae; Streptophyta; Magnoliopsida; Brassicales; Brassicaceae
Exons: 2
Source: RefSeq, a predicted model, not a curated record
GUAUAUUUUGCUGCUUGUUCAUCGUCCAUUUCAAUAUAUAAAACCUCAAAUUUUUUGUGAUUUGUCUCGGUUUGUUUUGGUGUUUAGGUUGUUUGAUCAAGACUAAUCAGACAGGUUCUUCACACAAAAGACCUACGAGUCUUCAUAGAGGUUCACGGGUUUUUGGUUGUGAGACAAUGUGAGACAAUGUCUGGUCACGGUCUAAAGCAAAAGACAGAGGUCACGGGUCUAAAAGACAGAGGUUAUGUGUUGGCUUUGGAGUCUUGUAAUCACAUUUCAUUGUGUUGGCUUUGGAGUCUUGUGUUUGCUUUGGAGUUUUGUAUAUUGUUGUUGUCUUUGUAUAGUGUUCACGGGUCUUUGGAGUCUUGUAAAUGACAUUAUAGUGAGCGAGUGUUGAUGUUCUUAUAUAUCCAUAACAUUAUGAUCACAAGCCAUUGCAAUCUCACUUUCUUUUGUUCACAAGCCAUUCUCUUUAUCUUCAAUCUCACAUUCUCACUAUCUUUAAUCUCACAUCUUCUCUCAUUCUUCUCUCCAUUCUCACUAUCUUUAAUCAAAAAAUUACCAAAAAUCCAUAUUGUAAACAAGAUUCUAAAACCAACCUCUCAUGGCUUCUUCUUCUCAUCACAAUUUGGAGGGGUCCCUUGAUGAAAUUUUUGAUCAAUAUUUUGAUCAAACUUUCUAUCAAACAUUUGACAAUUUGUUCAAUGUUUAUGGUGAUCAAGAAGAUGAAAGGAUGACAAGAAAAAAAAGAGUUUUUAUCGAACGAAACCGUGAAGAAGACCAUUUCCGGUUAUGGAAUGAAUAUUUCAGUGACACUCCCACAUAUCCUGAAAAUCUAUUCAGACAACGAUUUAGAAUGAACAAGUCAUUGUUCAUGCGUAUUGUUGAUCGCCUCUCCAAUGAAGUUCAAUUCUUUCGUCAAAAGCAAGACAUUACCGGAAGACUUUGGCUAUCUGCACUUCAAAAGUGUAUAGCAGCUAUUCGUGUGUUGGCAUAUGGUUCUGCGUUUGAUGCGGUCGACGAAUACCUCCAGCUCGGUGCAACCACUGCUCGGUUAUGUGUGAAAAAUUUUGUGGAAGCAUUAAUAAAUUUGUUCGGCGAUGAGUACCUAAAAAACCAACACCCGCUGAUCUUCAGCGUCUACUUCAUAUUGGAGAGCUUCGUGGAUUUCCCGGGAUAAUAGGAAGCAUCGAUUGUAUGCAUUGGGAGUGGAAGAAUUGUCUCACCGCUUGGAAAUGCCAAUAUUCUCGUGGUUCGGGAAAACCCACAAUCGUUUUAGAGGCGGUUGCUUUAUAUGAUCUCUUGAUAUGGCAUGCGUUUUUUGGACUUCGAGGUACCUUAAUUGAUAUUAAUGUUCUUGAUCGCUCACAUGUUUUUGAUGGCAUAAUAAAUGGUCGAGCCCCGCAAGUAAAUUUCUCGGUCAACGAAAGAGAGUACCAUUUGGCUUACUAUCUCACUGAUGGUAUUUAUCCAAAAUUGGCAACUUUUAUCCAAUCAGUUCUAAUUCCCCAAGGGCCGAAAGCAGUUUUAUUUGCGCAACGUCAAGAAGCUGUCUGAAAAGAUGUCGAGCGUGCUUUCGGAGUUUUACAAUUUUGAUUUGCCAUUGUUAAAAAUCCGGCACUUUCUUGGGAUAAAGUCAAGAUUGAGAAGAUUAUGAGAGCAUGCAUCAUACUCCAUAAUAUGAUAAUUGAAGACGAACGAGAUGAAUACACUCAAUAUGAUAUCUUAGAUUUUCAACAAGGAGAAGGGAGCGGAAGUUCACAUGUCGAUCCCACCUAUUCUACAGAUAUCCCUACUAAUAUCGCCAAUCAGAUGGGUGUUCGAACAAGAUUUUGUGAUAGACAAGCGCAUAAACAACUGAAAGGUGAUUUGGUUGAACAUAUAUGGCGUAAAUUCGGAAGUGAUCAGGACAACAACUGAGUUUCGAUGCCUCUUUGAAAUUAUUAUCAUUUAUUUUACUAAUAUUUGUUUUUUUGUUUUCAUGUUUCUAUUUUAAAAUUAAUGUUUAAAAUGUUAUGUUUGACUUUGUUUUAUUUAAUAAAUAAAUUUAAUCUUUGUAUAAAA